Molecule: non-coding RNA, 247 nt
Filed under: Desulfoscipio gibsoniae
Lineage: Bacteria; Bacillati; Bacillota; Clostridia; Eubacteriales; Desulfallaceae
Also listed under: 1 other name
Source: RNAcentral
AAAUUAAAUAAUAGUUCAGGUUCCCCGGCUAUGUCGGGGUGAAAAGGGAACCGGGUGUAAAUCCCGGGCGGUCCGGCCACUGUAAGUGGGGAGCGGCUCCCAAAGUGCCACUGUACCGGCACUCAAUGGUUUACUGAUUACAUAAUAAUCACACUAUUUUUGUAUAUACCAUUGGGUGCCAGAUGGGAAGGCGGGAGAUUUGCUAUGAGCCACAAGUCAGGAGACCUGCCUGAACAAAACACGAUAA